RNAcentral lists this ribosomal RNA (417 nucleotides) under uncultured Glomus. RNAcentral's name for it is "SSU rRNA". It matches the Rfam family "Eukaryotic small subunit ribosomal RNA", at positions 569 to 995 of the family's 1831-position model. Lineage: Eukaryota; Fungi; Glomeromycota; Glomeromycetes; Glomerales; Glomeraceae. The record is from RNAcentral.
AGCAGCCGCGGUAAUUCCAGCUCCAAUAGCGUAUAUUAAAGUUGUUGCAGUUAAAAAGCUCGUAGUUGAAUUUCGGGAUCAAUAUAUCGGUCGUGCCUUGGUACGUACUGGUAUCAUUGGUUUCUCCUUUCUGACGAACCAUGAUGUCAUUAAUUUGGUGUUAUGGGAAGUUAGGACUGUUACUUUGAAAAAUUAGAGUGUUUAAAGCAGGCUUUAGCUUGAAUACAUUAGCAUGGAAUAAUGAAAUAGGACGUUCGAACCUAUUUGUUGGUUUCUAGGAUCAACGUAAUGAUUAAUAGGGAUAGUUGGGGCAUUAGUAUUCAAUUGUCAGAGGUGAAAUUCUUGGAUUUAUUGAAGACUAACUACUGCGAAAGCAUUUGCCAAGGAUGUUUCAUUAAUCAAGAACGAAAGUUAGGG